UUGGCUGGUCUGGACGGGCGCCCCCGGCACUGUCACCUGACCACCCUGCCGUGGGCUUUCCGUUUCCCAGCCCAGAGCUUCCUUGCAGGAAUCACGUUGUGCUUCCCUCCACCUGGUGUGUCGGCGGGGCCGGGAGUUCCCUGUACCCUUCCACCUGCGGAGGCUGUGAGCUGCCUGUGCGGUGGUUCGGAACAAACCCCUUGCCCCCUUACCUGGGUUCACACCGACCACGUGACUCUCGGAGCUUGUGGGCUGGUGAUCAGAAGGAUGCACACCCCGCCCAGCACCAGCGCCUUGGUCAACCACGGGGCCUCUGCAGAAGCCUGAGCACUUGCCACAUUUUGGUCACUGUGGGCUGGACGCUGCGCGAGCUACCCACGCACAACACGCCCCCCCAAGCUCAGCCGGAGAAGCCUGGCCCUCGGCGUCUGCAGUGUGAUUUUACUCAUGAGAGACACAGAGAGAGGCAGACACAGGGGAAGCAGGCUUUCUGCAGGGAGCCUGAUUGGGACUUGAACCCAGGACUCCGGGACCAGACCCUGACCCGAAGGUAGACCCACCCAGGCGUCCUUGGACCCAACCUUUUACCUUACGCCUGGCCUGCAGGCAGGGCCUGUUCGCCCAUCCCGGGCCCUAUUCUUGUCCUGGAGGCCCCUGCAGGCCCGGGUCUGUGCCCGAGGGAGUAGGUGCUCUCAGAGCUUGUGUCACCUUGGGGGCCCUUCCCUCUGCGCCUCUCCUCCUGGGGGCGUGGGAGCUGGAGGCAGCAGCGCUCAAGGCCAAGGGCCAGCACAGGAGAGCCGAGGCAGGGCUGUGCCCUGCCGCCCGGGGAGGGGGGGGGCGCUGCUCAGGCCUGCACUCCCCGGACGUGCUUUUGCCUGGGGGGCCGCGGUCACUCCCCUCAGGCUGGAAGGCCUGCCCCAGUCCAGCCCCCCUACAAGCCCGCGGAGGAGUAGCUGAGCAGGCCUGGGGACCGCCCCCACUCGGUGCCUGGGGAGCGCUGGGGAGGGACACUGCCCCGGGCGGUGGGGAGGGAGUUCCUCCUGCCGUCACGCCCCGCCCCCCUGCGCAAUCUGCUCGCGGCGUGGGGGGAGCCGGGCUGCUUGGGCCCCGGGACCCCACGGCGCCCUGGGGCACAGCUCUCAGACGGGGCCGGGCCCGGUGGACGCGGCGGCACGGGGGCGGAUCGCAGAGCCCCACUGUGGGUGGGCCGCUUCCUGGGGCGCCGGUGGGUAUGGUAAGGACCGGACGCGACCAGAUGCUGGACGAGGGGCGGCCUCCGUGGAGCCCAGGGGGGCAUCGGGCCCGCAGGCCCCGGGGGCGCCGCUCGGGAGGGCACCGCCUCCCAGGCCGCCAGGUGGGCGCGCUGCUCCCGGACCUGCGGCGAUCGCGGCGCCCCGCGCCCGGCCCUGCCCUGCCCACCGCAGGGCCCGCCCCCGGCUCCCUGGCCCCGCCCUCGGCCCCGCCCCAGGUGCGCGCCGUGCGCGUGGGGCGCCG
Nyctereutes procyonoides (raccoon dog) is the source of this 1494-nucleotide long non-coding RNA. RefSeq lists it as uncharacterized. The transcript is spliced from 3 exons. The record is from RefSeq and is a predicted model, not a curated record. Lineage: Eukaryota; Metazoa; Chordata; Mammalia; Carnivora; Canidae.